GUUUCCAAGGAAGACUAAGAAAACUGCAAAAUUAAAGUGCACUGCAACAUGAAAUGCUGCUGGUGGCCAGGCGAGAUCGUGGUGUCAAAAAGGCAAGAUGGAAUCUCACGCUAUCACCCAGGAUGGAGCGCAGGGGUGUGAUCAUAGCUUACUGCAGCCUCCACAUCCUGGGCUCAAGAGAUUCUUCCAUCUCAACCUCCCAGAUUACUGGGAUUAUAGGUAUGAACCACUGCAUCUGGCCUGGAGAGACAUUUUUUAAAGAGAAAAAUCAAUUGCUGAGGGCUUUGGAUAUACUACAUAUGCUAUUAUCUGUAAAUGGAUGAUUUUCUGUGUUAUACAUAUUAUUUUAGAAUCAAAAUAAGUCUGGCCAAUAACUGCACUCAAUUCUCUUGCCUCAUAAAUGUAACAUGUCCAAAACUGAACUUUUGUUUUCUGCCACAAAAACCUGUUCCUUCUUCAGCACAUGACAUUGCUAUUCACCCAGACAUC
Homo sapiens (human) is the source of this 489-nucleotide long non-coding RNA. The record is from Ensembl. NCBI's taxonomy places the organism in Eukaryota, Metazoa, Chordata, Mammalia, Primates, Hominidae.